CGGGAUCCAUCAAGCUUGCUUGGUGCGUGAGAGUGGCGAACGGGUGAGUAAUGCGUGACCGACCUGCCCCAUACACCGGAAUAGCUCCUGGAAACGGGUGGUAAUGCCGGAUGCUCCAGUUGAUCGCAUGGUCUUCUGGGAAAGCUUUCGCGGUAUGGGAUGGGGUCGCGUCCUAUCAGCUUGACGGCGGGGUAACGGCCCACCGUGGCUUCGACGGGUAGCCGGCCUGAGAGGGCGACCGGCCACAUUGGGACUGAGAUACGGCCCAGACUCCUACGGGAGGCAGCAGUGGGGAAUAUUGCACAAUGGGCGCAAGCCUGAUGCAGCGACGCCGCGUGAGGGAUGGAGGCCUUCGGGUUGUAAACCUCUUUUAUCGGGGAGCAAGCGAGAGUGAGUUUACCCGUUGAAUAAGCACCGGCUAACUACGUGCCAGCAGCCGCGGUAAUACGUAGGGUGCAAGCGUUAUCCGGAAUUAUUGGGCGUAAAGGGCUCGUAGGCGGUUCGUCGCGUCCGGUGUGAAAGUCCAUCGCUUAACGGUGGAUCCGCGCCGGGUACGGGCGGGCUUGAGUGCGGUAGGGGAGACUGGAAUUCCCGGUGUAACGGUGGAAUGUGUAGAUAUCGGGAAGAACACCAAUGGCGAAGGCAGGUCUCUGGGCCGUUACUGACGCUGAGGAGCGAAAGCGUGGGGAGCGAACAGGAUUAGAUACCCUGGUAGUCCACGCCGUAAACGGUGGAUGCUGGAUGUGGGGCCCGUUCCACGGGUUCCGUGUCGGAGCUAACGCGUUAAGCAUCCCGCCUGGGGAGUACGGCCGCAAGGCUAAAACUCAAAGAAAUUGACGGGGGCCCCGCACAGCGGCGGAAGCAUGCGAUUAAUUCGAUGNCACGCGAAGAACCUUACCUGGGCUUGACAUGUUCCCGACGGUCGUAGAGAUACGGCUUCCCUUCGGGGCGGGUCACAGGUGGUGCAUGGUCGUCGUCAGCUCGUGUCGUGAGAUGUUGGGGUAAAGUCCCGCACGAGCGCAACCCUCGCCCCGUGUUGCAGGCGAUAUGCCGGAACUCACGGGGACGCCGGGGUNACUCCGAGNNAAGGGGGG
This 1094-nucleotide ribosomal RNA is filed under the name human gut metagenome. Its description in RNAcentral is "bacterial SSU rRNA". It matches the Rfam family "Bacterial small subunit ribosomal RNA", at positions 67 to 1177 of the family's 1533-position model. The record is from RNAcentral.